CUGGAACGCGCCCCAGGCGCACCCAGAAACCCUUUGUGAACUUAUACCUUACUGUUGCCUCGGCGCAUGCCGGCCCCCCUUGGGGCCCCUCUCCUGGAGGAGCAAGGCACGCCGGCGGCCAACCUAACUCUUGUUUUUACACUGAAACUCUGAGAAUAAAACAUAAAUGAAUCAAAACUUUCAACAACGGAUCUCUUGGUUCUGGCAUCGAUGAAGAACGCAGCGAAAUGCGAUAAGUAAUGUGAAUUGCAGAAUUCAGUGAAUCAUCGAAUCUUUGAACGCACAUUGCGCCCUCUGGUAUUCCGGAGGGCAUGCCUGUUCGAGCGUCAUUUCAACCCUCAAGCCUGGCUUGGUGAUGGGGCACUGCUUUUACCCAAGAGCAGGCCCUGAAAUUCAGUGCCGAGCUCGCCAGGACCCCGAGCGCAGUAGUUAAACCCUCGCUCUGGAAGGCCCUGGCCGUGCCCUGCCGUUAAACCCCCAACUUCUGAAAAU
This 492-nucleotide unclassified non-coding RNA is filed under the name Diaporthe eres. Its description in RNAcentral is "partial contains ITS1, 5.8S rRNA and ITS2". The stretch from base 176 to 329 matches the Rfam family "5.8S ribosomal RNA". The record is from RNAcentral. Lineage: Eukaryota; Fungi; Ascomycota; Sordariomycetes; Diaporthales; Diaporthaceae.